RNAcentral lists this ribosomal RNA (439 nucleotides) under uncultured bacterium. RNAcentral describes it as "partial 16S ribosomal RNA". It matches the Rfam family "Bacterial small subunit ribosomal RNA", at positions 338 to 795 of the family's 1533-position model. The record is from RNAcentral.
CCUACGGGAGGCAGCAGUGGGGGAUAUUGCACAAUGGGCGAAAGCCUGAUGCAGCGACGCCGCGUGAGGGAAGACGGCCUUCGGAUUGUAAACCUCUGUCUUUGGGGAAGAAGAUGACGGUACUCAAAGAGGAAGCCCCGGCUAACUAGGUGCAAGCAGCCGCGGUAAUACGUAGGGAGCGAGGGUUGUCCGGAAUUACUGGGUGUAAAGGGAGCGUAGGCGGGGAUGCAAGUUGGAUGGUAAAACUAUCGGAUCAACCGGUAAUUGCAACCAAUACUGCAACUCUUGAGUAAAGUAGAGGCAGGCGGAAUUCGUAGUGUAGCGGUGAAAUGCGUAGAUAUUAGGAGGAACACCAGUUGCGAAGGCGGCCUACUGAGCUUUAACUGACGCUGAGGCUCGAAAGCGUGGGGAGCAAACAGGAUUAGAUACCCGUGUAGUC